Molecule: ribosomal RNA, 470 nt
Filed under: uncultured bacterium
Lineage: Bacteria
Description: SSU rRNA
Rfam family: Bacterial small subunit ribosomal RNA
Source: RNAcentral
AGGACUAACGCUGGCGGCGUGCCUAACACAUGCAAGUCGAACGAGAGUAGCAAUACUCUAGUGGCAGACGGGUGAGUAACACGUGGUCAACCUACCUUUAAGUGGGGGAUAACUAGCCGAAAGGUUAGCUAAUACCGCAUACGAUCGUCGAGUGGCAUCACACGACGAUGAAAGGAGCAAUCCGUUGAGAGAGGGGACUGCGUCCCAUUAGUUAGUUGGUGGGGUAAUGGCCUACCAAGACUCCGAUGGGUAGCUGGCUUGAGAGAGCGACCAGCCACACUGGAACUGAGACACGGUCCAGACUCCUACGGGAGGCAGCAGUGAGGAAUUUUCCGCAAUGGGGGAAACCCUGACGGAGCGACGCCGCGUGUGGGAAGAAGGCCUUCGGGUCGUAAACCACGUGUCGAGGGGGACGAGUAUUGACGGUACCCCUGGGAGGAAGCCCCGGCUAACUACGUGCCAGCAGCCGC